AUUUUUCAUCAUCGAAUCCCCCACGGUAAGGGGACCGGUAGGGGAUAUGAAGGAUGGCCGCCAUAUGUUGUCUGGUGAAGGCGGAGCUGCCUCUUCACCAAUGUUCAAGUCAAAACGACGAUCAGAAGGGCCAGACAUUUUUUCAGAGGUGGUAAAGAAAGAAGAGAGUCGGAAUGAUCAAGAUUAAACAAGUGCAAGAAGGGAGUGUUUACAGGAGGGUACUCAAGUGUGUUGUGGAACAAAAUUAACGCCUCUAUAAAAAGAAGAAAUCAAAGAGGCGCUCCUCAGAGAUGCGUCCUCUCGCAAAUCGAAGAGUCGGGGCUCCUUUCUCAAAAGCCGGAUUCUUUUCUCAAAAGAGGAGUUUCCGUUCUCAAAAGCCGGAUUCUUUUCUCAAAAGAGGCGUUCAUUUCUUAAAAGUUGGGCUUGCUCAGAAACCACGAGCCGAACCCCAGAUUUCGCAAGAUCAAUUCGUCCAGACGUGUUGUCACCCGUCACACGCAAACUCAGCUCUGCGAAAAUCACGGGCAGUCUGUCGAAGUGCCGAUUCCAACCAUCUGUCUCUCUCAGCCUAGUCAGCACUUGUCACAUGCAACUGGCAGCUUUUGCGGAAAUUACGGGCAGCUUUGUCAGAAAGCGCGUAAUUUGUAUUCUUCACCCCAUCCACCGGCUGCCGACACUAAGUGAGAGAACAGUUCCGGUUGUGAAGACAAGUCCUAUAAGUUUCUAC
Molecule: long non-coding RNA, 727 nt
Filed under: Malus domestica (apple)
Lineage: Eukaryota; Viridiplantae; Streptophyta; Magnoliopsida; Rosales; Rosaceae
Description: long non-coding RNA (MDOM_LNC008477)
Source: RNAcentral